Molecule: transfer RNA, 85 nt
Organism: Felis catus (domestic cat)
Lineage: Eukaryota; Metazoa; Chordata; Mammalia; Carnivora; Felidae
Rfam family: tRNA
About the family: Transfer RNA (tRNA) molecules are approximately 80 nucleotides in length. Their secondary structure includes four short double-helical elements and three loops (D, anti-codon, and T loops). Further hydrogen bonds mediate the characteristic L-shaped molecular structure. tRNAs have two regions of fundamental functional importance: the anti-codon, which is responsible for specific mRNA codon recognition, and the 3' end, to which the tRNAs corresponding amino acid is attached (by aminoacyl-tRNA synthetases). tRNAs cope with the degeneracy of the genetic code in two manners: having more than one tRNA (with a specific anti-codon) for a particular amino acid; and 'wobble' base-pairing, i.e. permitting non-standard base-pairing at the 3rd anti-codon position.
Source: Rfam
ACCUGGGUGGCUCAGUCGGUUGAGCGUCUGACUUCAGCUCAGGUCAUGAGCUCGCGGUCCGCGGGUUUGAGCCCCGCCUCGGGCU